This 1075-nucleotide long non-coding RNA is filed under the name Marmota monax (woodchuck). The record is from RNAcentral. Lineage: Eukaryota; Metazoa; Chordata; Mammalia; Rodentia; Sciuridae.
AGGUUUCCCGUGUGAACCGAAAUGCCUUCUAAGUCCAGUAAAUGGAUCUCCCUGGGAGCACUGAACUUCCAAUAGAUUCCCCAGGAUCCCCUGGGAAAAACUGGUCCCUCCUUUCUCCCCAGCAGAUGGGCUGGCAGCCUGGCGCCUGAGGCAGGGUGAGCGGGUCUUUUUCCUCCUGGGAAUGAAGAAUGAUAUUUGGGCAUCUGGGCAGGAAGAUUAAAAAAGAGACAAAUGGGUUUUUUCCUCACCCAAAACUACCAACCCCUCGAUGUUCCCAAAAUCCUCAGUCUGAAGGGGUUGGUUGAGCCAUGGGGGGAGGAAGUGGACAUUAAUAAUAUGUGAUAAUCUCCCCAGAGUUGGCCACCUCUAUCAUCCAAUUUCUCCAGCUUGUCCUCAGUCCUGCUCACAGAAACAGACCUUCUGAAACUGGGGGGCUUCUAUCAAUUUGGCAGCUGUGUUUUUAUCUUGGUGUAGGAAAUUUACAUCAUCACCUUCCCUAUCCCUUCCAGAAACUUGCCCUUUUUUAGCAGCUGCUGGAGGCUAUAAGGAAAUGUGUAGUCUCUGCUCUUGAGGCAAAACACUCAGAAAUAGCAUAGGCUAGACUCAACUGAUUGGGAAUAGAGAACCUAGGGAGAUAGCCAGCCAAGAAGUGCGGCCUCUGACAGGGGGCUUGCCUGCAGAUUAGGAGUUUGCCACUCCCUUCCCUGCUCAGGGGGGUGGUUGGGGAGGGAGUGAGUAAUUUCAAGUUGAAUGAAUCUUUUUUAAUAAAUCAAUGGGCAAAUCAAUUAAAGAAAAAAAGAAACAUCAUGCAUAACUGGCUUACUGUACAUCCCUUUCUUUUUGAGGUGAAUAUAGAUGGCACUGCUUCUCACCGAGAGAUUGCUCAGUUGACCCUUUGAGAAGAAUGAUCACAAACUCAAUAGUACAUAUGAAUCUCCUGAGAUUUUUUUUUUAUUAUUUCAGUAUCCCACUUCAAGAACAGAGGGCAUCCAGUUCUGUCAGCCACAGAGCUAGGGAAAUUCUCUUCUUGCCUCUACCUCUCUGAUUGUGAUUCUCAGGGAAAGGAUAGUUCCUG